This 749-nucleotide ribosomal RNA is filed under the name Acinetobacter pittii. RNAcentral describes it as "bacterial SSU rRNA". It matches the Rfam family "Bacterial small subunit ribosomal RNA", at positions 132 to 875 of the family's 1533-position model. Lineage: Bacteria; Pseudomonadati; Pseudomonadota; Gammaproteobacteria; Moraxellales; Moraxellaceae. The record is from RNAcentral.
AUUAGUGGGGGACAACAUUUCGAAAGGAAUGCUAAUACCGCAUACGUCCUACGGGAGAAAGCAGGGGAUCUUCGGACCUUGCGCUAAUAGAUGAGCCUAAGUCGGAUUAGCUAGUUGGUGGGGUAAAGGCCUACCAAGGCGACGAUCUGUAGCGGGUCUGAGAGGAUGAUCCGCCACACUGGGACUGAGACACGGCCCAGACUCCUACGGGAGGCAGCAGUGGGGAAUAUUGGACAAUGGGCGCAAGCCUGAUCCAGCCAUGCCGCGUGUGUGAAGAAGGCCUUAUGGUUGUAAAGCACUUUAAGCGAGGAGGAGGCUACUUUAGUUAAUACCUAGAGAUAGUGGACGUUACUCGCAGAAUAAGCACCGGCUAACUCUGUGCCAGCAGCCGCGGUAAUACAGAGGGUGCAAGCGUUAAUCGGAUUUACUGGGCGUAAAGCGCGCGUAGGCGGCUAAUUAAGUCAAAUGUGAAAUCCCCGAGCUUAACUUGGGAAUUGCAUUCGAUACUGGUUAGCUAGAGUGUGGGAGAGGAUGGUAGAAUUCCAGGUGUAGCGGUGAAAUGCGUAGAGAUCUGGAGGAAUACCGAUGGCGAAGGCAGCCAUCUGGCCUAACACUGACGCUGAGGUGCGAAAGCAUGGGGAGCAAACAGGAUUAGAUACCCUGGUAGUCCAUGCCGUAAACGAUGUCUACUAGCCGUUGGGGCCUUUGAGGCUUUAGUGGCGCAGCUAACGCGAUAAGUAGACCGCCUG